UACGAAGGGGGCUAGCGUUGUUCGGAAUCACUGGGCGUAAAGCGCACGUAGGCGGACUUUUAAGUCGGGGGUGAAAUCCCAGGGCUCAACCCUGGAACUGCCCUCGAUACUGGAAGUCUUGAGUAUGGAAGAGGUUGGUGGAACUGCGAGUGUAGAGGUGAAAUUCGUAGAUAUUCGCAAGAACACCAGUGGCGAAGGCGGCCAACUGGUCCAUCACUGACGCUGAGGUGCGAAAGCGUGGGGAGCAAACAGG
This 253-nucleotide ribosomal RNA is filed under the name uncultured bacterium. RNAcentral's name for it is "partial 16S ribosomal RNA". It matches the Rfam family "Bacterial small subunit ribosomal RNA", at positions 524 to 776 of the family's 1533-position model. The record is from RNAcentral.